This 72-nucleotide transfer RNA is filed under the name Solanum commersonii (Commerson's wild potato). It matches the Rfam family "tRNA". From Rfam's summary of the family: Transfer RNA (tRNA) molecules are approximately 80 nucleotides in length. RNAcentral also lists the same sequence under 1 other name. Lineage: Eukaryota; Viridiplantae; Streptophyta; Magnoliopsida; Solanales; Solanaceae. The record is from Rfam by way of RNAcentral.
CCUGAAAUAGCUUAAUGGUGGAGCAUAGUCUUGCCAAGGCUUAGUUUGAGGGUUCCAGUCCCUCCUUCCGCU